AACGAACGCUGGCGGCAUGCCUAACACAUGCAAGUCGAACGAGACCUUCGGGUCUAGUGGCGCACGGGUGCGUAACGCGUGGGAACCUGCCCUUAGGUUCGGAAUAACUCCCCGAAAGGGGUGCUAAUACCGGAUAAUGUCUUCGGACCAAAGAUUUAUCGCCUUUGGAUGGGCCCGCGUUGGAUUAGCUAGUUGGUAGGGUAAAAGCCUACCAAGGCGACGAUCCAUAGCUGGUCUGAGAGGAUGAUCAGCCACACUGGGACUGAGACACGGCCCAGACUCCUACGGGAGGCAGCAGUGGGGAAUAUUGAACAAUGGGCGAAAGCCUGAUCCAGCAAUGCCGCGUGAGUGAUGAAGGCCUUAGGGUUGUAAAGCUCUUUUACCCGGGAUGAUAUGACAGUACCGGGAGAAUAAGCUCCGGCUAACUCCGUG
Molecule: ribosomal RNA, 432 nt
Filed under: uncultured bacterium
Lineage: Bacteria
Description: partial 16S ribosomal RNA
Rfam family: Bacterial small subunit ribosomal RNA
Source: RNAcentral